CACUUUGAUAGGAGAAGCAUUUCAGUUGUUCUCACCUCCUGCUUAUCCUGAGCAGCAGAGUAAGAAACAUCCAGAAUGUUCCACUCACUAUGCCUUCACGCACUGCUUGCUCGAGGAUGGCUGUCUGAUGUUUCUUUCUAUAAUGGAGCAGUGGGUAGAACUUUCCACUCCUGAUGACAUUGUAUAAACUCCUCUUGAUAUAUUUGACAGUCACUUUUUGUCACUUAGGUACUUUUUCCUUUCUGCCUCUCUUUCCUCUCAUUACUUGAUAAGAGCCUUGGGUCAUAAAUGCAUCCUACCAGAUCCCGUAAAACCCUUCCCACUGUGCUUAGAAUAAAAUCAAACCUCUGAUGUACAAAUACUCCUCUCUCACCCUGCCUCAUCUCCCCCGGGCUCCAGCCACUCCGGUCUUUCUGUGCGGCUACUGUGUGACUUCCUUUCAGUUCUGAAUGCAGUUCAUCCACAGCUGUCCAGAGCUGUGUGGUUCCCCAUACUCAUGUGUCCGCUCCUGUAGUAACUCCCCAAAGAUCCCACCUAACAUCAUGUUUCCUGGGAUCCCCACUCACGUUUGCUCUCCUGCUUCCUUUUGCUUUCUUCUUUUCACUUACUUUUAACUUUCUUUUCACUCUUACAGAGACGCACCAAAGCUGUGAAGUUUUCUGUUUUGCUUAUGGUACGAUUAUCCCGCACCAAGCGAGCCCAGAGCACUGCAGCUGGGAGCUUCCUGUCUCAUUCACAGACCUGUGCCCAAUGCCAGGAAGUGCCCCUGGUACACAGUUGGGACUCGAUACGUACAUGAUUUGGUGGCAGCGUUGGGACCCGAAGCAAACCUCUGUCAGCACUUGGGGACAAAGAGAAACACAGACAUGGUGCCCUGCAAACAGGUACUGCACCCUUGCUGUGACCAUCUAGGGCAGACAGUGGGAAACACACGUGAACCCACAUGGGCAACAGAAGAGACUGUGAGCUCACCCAGGGGAACUUCACAUUGACUUAAUGACAUAUCAGCCCGGAGCAAUCCUGGGAACUUCCAAAGCAAUAUCUCAAUAGAGAUUGUGGAUGGAUAUGUAAAAACAGAAUAGACCGGAAAAUCCUGCUCAUCUCCUUUUUUUCGAAGAUAAUCUUCCUCCCGAGUUACUCCGCCCAAGAGUCAAGAGAGACAGCAACAACACCCUUCCAAAAUGAAGCCCCACCUGUGGGAGUGUCUUCCUUCCUGUCUGCAGCUUCAUGGACCAAGGGGACACACUGAUGCAGAGAGAAAAAAGACAGGCCCUGGCUAUGAGGCCCAGGAACUGGGUCAGAGCUCACGGGACGUGAGGGGGUCCACAGAGCAGGUGUGAUGCCGCAUACCCACGUGAACACAUCCUGGCCCCUGGCGUCUCAGGGAACUCCCUGUCAAACACGGUGCUCCAUCAGGAGAGGACUCCUCUUCCUUGUACUGCAGUGCAGACAGAGCUGGGCAGCUGUGCUGAUGCACACGCGUGCAGUCCUUCCCUUGGUCUCCCUUGGUCUUUAAAUCCAAUGGCAAAUAUCCUUCUAAGAGAAGAGGAGAAGAUACAGAAUAGAGGAGGAGAAGGUCAUGAGAAGCUGGAAGCAGAGACUGGAAAUUUUCAGUCACAAGCUAAGGGACACUGGGAGCCCCCAGAAACUGGAGGAGGCAAGAAAGGAGUCUACCCUAGAGCCUUCAGAGGGAGCAUGACUCCACCAACACCUGGAUUUUCUACUUCUGAUUUUCAG
Long non-coding RNA from Zalophus californianus (California sea lion), 1737 nucleotides. RefSeq lists it as uncharacterized. The record is from RefSeq and is a predicted model, not a curated record. Lineage: Eukaryota; Metazoa; Chordata; Mammalia; Carnivora; Otariidae. The transcript has 6 exons.